This 429-nucleotide ribosomal RNA is filed under the name Pseudomonadota bacterium. RNAcentral's name for it is "Proteobacteria bacterium partial 16S ribosomal RNA". It matches the Rfam family "Bacterial small subunit ribosomal RNA", at positions 355 to 776 of the family's 1533-position model. The record is from RNAcentral. Lineage: Bacteria; Pseudomonadati; Pseudomonadota.
UGGGGAAUAUUGGACAAUGGGCGAAAGCCUGAUCCAGCCAUGCCGCGUGUGUGAAGAAGGUCUUCGGAUUGUAAAGCACUUUAAGUUGGGAGGAAGGGCAGUAAGCGAAUACCUUGCUGUUUUGACGUUACCGACAGAAUAAGCACCGGCUAACUCUGUGCCAGCAGUCGCGGUAAUACAGAGGGUGCAAGCGUUAAUCGGAAUUACUGGGCGUAAAGCGCGCGUAGGUGGAUCGUUAAGUUGAAUGUGAAAGCCCCGGGCUCAACCUGGGAACUGCAUCCAAAAAUGGCGAGCUAGAGUAGGGCAGAGGGUGGUGGAAUUUCCUGUGUAGCGGUGAAAUGCGUAGAUAUAGGAAGGAACACCAGUGGCGAAGGCGACCACCUGGGCUCAUACUGACACUGAGGUGCGAAAGCGUGGGGAGCAAACAGG